GGGCCCGCACAAGCGGUGGAGCAUGUGGUUUAAUUCGAUGAUACGCGAGGAACCUUACCAGGGCUUAAAUGUAGUUUGACCGGUCUGGAAACAGACUUUCUCUUCGGAGCAGAUUACAAGGUGCUGCAUGGUUGUCGUCAGCUCGUGCCGUGAGGUGUUAGGUUAAGUCCUGCAACGAGCGCAACCCCUAUUCUUAGUUGCCAGCGGUUCGGCCGGGGACUCUAAGAAGACUGCCAGCGCAAGCUGAGAGGAAGGUGGGGAUGACGUCAAAUCAUCACGGCCCUUACGUCCUGGGCUACACACGUGCUACAAUGGUAGAGACAGAGGGCAGCCACCUGGUGACAGGGAGCGAAUCUAUAAAACCGGUCUCAGUUCGGAUCGCAGUCUGCAACUCGACUGCGUG
This 403-nucleotide ribosomal RNA is filed under the name uncultured bacterium. RNAcentral describes it as "bacterial SSU rRNA". It matches the Rfam family "Bacterial small subunit ribosomal RNA", at positions 917 to 1322 of the family's 1533-position model. The record is from RNAcentral.